GACGAACGCUGGCGGCGUGCUUAACACAUGCAAGUCGAACGGAAAGGCCCUGCUUUUGUGGGGUGCUCGAGUGGCGAACGGGUGAGUAACACGUGAGUAACCUGCCCUUGACUUUGGGAUAACUUCAGGAAACUGGGGCUAAUACCGGAUAGGAGCUCCUGCUGCAUGGUGGGGGUUGGAAAGUUUCGGCGGUUGGGGAUGGACUCGCGGCUUAUCAGCUUGUUGGUGGGGUAGUGGCUUACCAAGGCUUUGACGGGUAGCCGGCCUGAGAGGGUGACCGGCCACAUUGGGACUGAGAUACGGCCCAGACUCUUACGGGAGGCAGCAGUGGGGAAUAUUGCACAAUGGGCGGGAGCCUGAUGCAGCAACGCCGCGUGCGGGAUGACGGCCUUCGGGUUGUAAACCGCUUUCGCCUGUGACGAAGCGUGAGUGACGGUAAUGGGUAAAGAAGCACCGGCUAACUACGUG
This 468-nucleotide ribosomal RNA is filed under the name uncultured bacterium. RNAcentral's name for it is "partial 16S ribosomal RNA". It matches the Rfam family "Bacterial small subunit ribosomal RNA", at positions 28 to 507 of the family's 1533-position model. The record is from RNAcentral.